CCCUUAGAUGUUCUGGGCCGCACGCGUGCUACACUGAGUAAUUCAAUGGGUAAGGGAACGCUAGAGCAUUACCUAAUCUUGAAAUUUGCUCGUGAUGGGGAUCGACGGUUGCAAUUUUCCGUCGUGAACGAGGAAUACCUUGUAGGCGCAUGUCAUCAUCAUGCGCCGAAUACGUCCCUGCCCUUUGUACACACCGCCCGUCGCUCCUACCGAUUGAGUGAUCCGGUGAGGCUCUGGGACCUGGACGGAAAGAGCGUUUCGCUUGUUCUGUUUGGGAAACUUGGUCAAACCUUAUCAUUUAGAGGAAGGAGAAGUCGUAACA
RNAcentral lists this ribosomal RNA (322 nucleotides) under uncultured eukaryote. Its description in RNAcentral is "partial 18S ribosomal RNA". It matches the Rfam family "Eukaryotic small subunit ribosomal RNA", at positions 1470 to 1796 of the family's 1831-position model. The record is from RNAcentral.